Molecule: long non-coding RNA, 2254 nt
Filed under: Helianthus annuus (common sunflower)
Lineage: Eukaryota; Viridiplantae; Streptophyta; Magnoliopsida; Asterales; Asteraceae
Description: hypothetical non coding rna
Source: RNAcentral
GUUAAAGUAGUAGUUUCUACAUUCUGUCAUGUUCUAUUUCACAGUGAAGGGCGUAGGCGAGGACUCGACAUAGGCGCAAAGACAGGAAGCACGACAACGGAGUAGUGAUGAUGAAGAUGAUCUGAGGAGGACAUAAGCUUUACUUCACAAAGCAUUAUCAGUUUGCAUAUUUUGAAAUUGCAGGCCAGUAGGCUAAGAUAGUGUACAACCACUCCAUGAAGGUAACGCGUUGAGUGGCAAGAGCAUUGGUACUAUGGUCCAUGCUGAGCAAUAUGGGAGUGACUUAGUUGAACUCAGGGUAUAAUCGACAAUUUAUACCACAACGUCAAGCCAAAACCGUUGAUUGUAGCAUUGUUGGGUUCUUUGAUAAAGAGUGGCUUUCAAAGCUUCUUAAGGUUUCGGGUUCAGACAUUGUUGAUGUAAUGACACUUCAUUUGUAUAAUUUGGACCAGAAAUUUGAUUGAAGGGUGCAUGUUGAUAUGGUUGUGUGGAUGGCUUCACGAGCCUUUAGGUUGGAACAAGUCGCCAUAGAUUCUGCCAUAGUAGGGAUGUUGUGUGACCCAAUGGAACCCAAAGGAGGUUCAAAAUCUACCGACCAAUGUGGAUUGAUCGCAUUCCCAAUGUCGUUAAAGCAGCUUGGAACAAGAAAUGAACAAAUUUAAUGCUUUAGAAGGGUGGAAUGGAGCUACCUCAACGUUUUGGCUAUAUCUUCACUUGAGCCCAGGUGAAAGAAAGCUACUUUUCUACAUGUUGGUGUCAAUUCAAAAAUAAAGUUAUGUGAUUUGAUGAUUUCUUUAUUUAAAAAUUUUAAUUGCCCCUAAAUAUUAAAUGCAUUAUUGCGAUUAUAACAGUUGAUGGGGGUGUAAAUAAGUUAUUGUAUUGUUGGCAGCAAUGAAGGCCGGAAAGGCCACAAGAGCAGAGUUUAAUCCUUAACUGCUGAUGGAUUUUUUCAUGGUAGCAAUACAUACACUAGGAAACUAAGGUCAUUCUUUAUUUACUUCAACUAGAAUUGACAAUUUUGACCUGAUUAUUAUGAUGGGUUAACCAUGUUAUAUUUAUUUCAACUAGAACUGACAAUUUUGACCAGAGUUUAGUCAGUAAUGUGUGUUUAAUUGUUUACUUAUGCAUGUGAGGUUUAUUUUGGAAGAGCAUCAACCUUGAGUCACAGUUGUAAAGUUGGCACAAACUCAUGUUCUAAAGGAAGACAUGUAUUUAUUUGUUUAUUAUAACUUUUUCACCACUUUCAUACUAAUACUAAUACAGCCCAAUUCGGGUUAUUUAUAAUGAUGAUGGGUCAAACGGGUAAUUUAAAACGAGUAGACUUCCUGAAUGUUUUUAGUUUGAAAAAAGAGUAAAUUACUCGAAAAAUGCUCUUUUUAGUAGUUAAUUAGUUGCGCCAAAUAUUAGCGCACGAAAUAUAACGUCUAAUAAAUAUUAUAAGUCUUUGGUUUAAAUAUCUAGCAUGUUUUAUACGUUAAAAAUAUACUAUGGUUGACUUUUCACUCAUCUCCUUUUAAGCUACUCAUUUACCGGUUUGACCCGUAAACUCUGGAUUGGCCCCUUCAUAAGUUCAUGGGUCGAAAUUGUUACCUCUAUUAUUCUCCUACGAUAAUUUAUGUCAGGUUCAUGUUGAUAAAAGAGUUCCACCCGGAGCGGGGGUUGCGUUAUCAAGUCCAGUUUUUGUUUUGUUUUUUUUUUUGUUUUUUUUUUGUUUUUUUUUUUUUUUUUGCAGGAUUUUAUUGUACUCAUCAAGAUAAAUAUUCACCAUAUAUGCAAGAAUACUUUUGGUAAUUAUUUAUUUCAGUAGUUGUUUGAUGAUUUCUAUGCAUUUGUUAUAUACACUAUGGGCGAUUUUUUCAUUUUCUUUCUUAUAAACCAAUUUAUUUGAUUUGACAUGUUUGACCCGCUAAAAGCAUAACCAAAGUGACCAAUUUGUGUUGAGAGUAAUGUAGAAUCAAGAAUGGUGUACUGAAUUUUGAUUUGCUUGAGUCAAGAAGUAAAGAAAAUUAAUUGUGGAAGCAAGCCGCAACUUUGUUUCUCCAAUGACAACGAAAUCUCUGGUUUUAGCCUGGAAGCUGCUGAAAAUUAACAACAUUUAUUCCUUAUUACUAAGUGUUCCCUGUUUUAGGUUUGUGAGUGGAGUUUUAUUUUUAUUUUUUAAGUCAAGUAUUUGAAGAUCAAUGAAACGAAACAUGGUAUGAUUAAGAUGUGUGUGGUAGUUGUUGAAUGUUUAAUGUAAGAAGUGUUAUUUUAG